Molecule: non-coding RNA, 72 nt
Organism: Salmo salar (Atlantic salmon)
Lineage: Eukaryota; Metazoa; Chordata; Actinopteri; Salmoniformes; Salmonidae
Source: Rfam
UCCCGUGUUGCUCGCUUGGUAGAGCAUGGCACUUGCAAUGCCAGGGUUGUGGGUUCAAUUCCCCUGGGGGAC